AAACCAAAGAUGGCGACCGGCGCACGGGUGAGUAACACGUAUCCAACCUGCCGAUAACUCGGGGAUAGCCUUUCGAAAGAAAGAUUAAUAUCCGAUAGUAUAUUUUCUCCGCAUGGCGAGAAUAUUAAAGAAUUUCGGUUAUCGAUGGGGAUGCGUUCCAUUAGUUUGUUGGCGGGGUAACGGCCCACCAAGACUACGAUGGAUAGGGGUUCUGAGAGGAAGGUCCCCCACAUUGGAACUGAGACACGGUCCAA
This 254-nucleotide ribosomal RNA is filed under the name uncultured bacterium. RNAcentral's name for it is "partial 16S ribosomal RNA". It matches the Rfam family "Bacterial small subunit ribosomal RNA", at positions 79 to 334 of the family's 1533-position model. The record is from RNAcentral.